CGAGAAAGCCCGCAAGGGUGAGUAAAGCGGCGCACGGGUGCGUAACACGUGGGUAAUCUGCCCUGAAGUCCGGAAUAACUCGCCGAAAGGCGUGCUAAUGCCGGAUGAGACCACGGGAGCCUCGGCUCCUGCGGGAAAAGGUGGCCUCUGUAUACAAGCUAUCGCUUCAGGAUGAGCCCGCGGCCCAUCAGCUCGUUGGCGGGGUAAUGGCCCACCAAGGCUACGACAGGUAGCUGGUCUGAGAGGACGAUCAGCCACACUGGAACUGAGACACGGUCCAGACUCCUACGGGAGGCAGCAGUGGGGAAUCUUGCGCAAUGGGCGAAAGCCUGACGCAGCAACGCCGCGUGUGUGAUGAAGGUCUUCGGAUCGUAAAGCACUGUCGCGAGGGACG
This 394-nucleotide ribosomal RNA is filed under the name uncultured Anaeromyxobacter sp. RNAcentral describes it as "bacterial SSU rRNA". It matches the Rfam family "Bacterial small subunit ribosomal RNA", at positions 67 to 447 of the family's 1533-position model. Lineage: Bacteria; Pseudomonadati; Myxococcota; Myxococcia; Myxococcales; Anaeromyxobacteraceae. The record is from RNAcentral.